GUCUGCUCGAUCUUAAGAACAGUCUGGCCUGCCCCCUGAUUAAUUUUAAAGGGCCGCGGUACCCUGACCGUGCGAAGGUAGCAUAAUAGUUAGUCUUUUAAUUGAAGACUGGAAUGAAAGGUCGGACAAGAAAUUAACUGUCUCAACCUAAAUAACUGAAAUUAACUUUUAAGUGAAAAGGCUUAAAUAAUCUAGAAGGACGACAAGACCCUAUAAAACUUUAUAUACAAAAAAAAUAAACUCCUAAUUAUUUGUUUAAAGUUGGAUAUUUUCUCGUUUAUUGCGUUGGGGCGACGAAAGUAUAAACCUAACUGCUUUUAAUUUAUAACAAUCAUUUUUGUAACUACAUUGACCCUUUUAAAGACUUAAAGAAAAAGUUACUUUAGGGAUAACAGCGUUAUUUUUUUUGAGAGUCCGUAUCGACAAAAAAGUUUGCGACCUCGAUGUUGAAUUAAGAUACCCCCACAGUGCAGCAACUAUGAUGGUAGGUCUGUUCGACCUUUAAAAUCUUACAUGAUUUGAGUUCAAACCGGCGCAAG
Molecule: ribosomal RNA, 539 nt
Filed under: Michaelcallianassa sinica
Lineage: Eukaryota; Metazoa; Arthropoda; Malacostraca; Decapoda; Callichiridae
Description: partial large subunit ribosomal RNA
Rfam family: Bacterial large subunit ribosomal RNA
Source: RNAcentral